UCUAGGCCUAUGUGAACGAAUCAGUUGUUCGAGGAUAAAAAAAAAAAAUCAGCACCACUUGGCUGUCAUUAUUGUGCAAAGAUUUUUUUAUAUCAAACUGAAAAAGAAUGAUCUUGUAGUACUUCCUUGAAAAUCUUGUAAAAUGCGAUCGACUUUCUACAAACCUUACAUGGAACAGUUUGUUCUAUGUCUGACUGCUUGUACCCGAACCACUUCCAUACAACUGAAGUAGCACCCUUUUUAUGAAUGAGUUCUUCAUCUCAAAGUAAAAAUGCAAAUUAAUCGUUUAAACCAAAAGAAUCGCCCAGCCCUAAUACAGGGUUACACUAGAGACUAUCACCUGGUUUAUAUAUCAUACAGGGUUACACUAGAGACUAUUGGUGCAACGGUUCACGGGUUAACUGUACGGAUCAACCCUCACGUUCAGGACGCAAGUUAU
Molecule: long non-coding RNA, 439 nt
Organism: Gadus macrocephalus (Pacific cod)
Lineage: Eukaryota; Metazoa; Chordata; Actinopteri; Gadiformes; Gadidae
Exons: 2
Source: RefSeq, a predicted model, not a curated record